AUACAGAGGGUGCAAGCGUUAAUCGGAAUUACUGGGCGUAAAGCGCUCGUAGGCGGCUAAGUCAGUCGUAUGUGAAAGCCCCGGGCUCAACCUGGGAACUGCAUGCGAUACUGCUUGGCUAGAGUAUGAUAGAGGAGAGUGGAAUUUCCGGUGUAGCGGUGAAAUGCGUAGAUAUCGGAAGGAACAUCAGUGGCGAAGGCGACUCUCUGGAUUAAUACUGACGCUCAGGGGCGAAAGCGUGGGGAGCGAACAGGAUUAGAAACCCCAGUAGUCC
Molecule: ribosomal RNA, 274 nt
Filed under: uncultured bacterium
Lineage: Bacteria
Description: partial 16S ribosomal RNA
Rfam family: Bacterial small subunit ribosomal RNA
Source: RNAcentral